GUCCUUAAGAAUAGAUUUUAAGGUUUAAUCUGCCCACUGAUUAAUUAAAUGGCCGCAGUAAUUUGACUGUGCAAAGGUAGCAUAAUCAUUAGUUUUUUAAUUAAAAGCUAGAAUGAAUGAUUGGACGAGAUAAAAACUGUCUUGAUAUAAUAGAAAGAAUUUUAUUUUUUAGUAAAAAAGCUAAAAUUUUUUUAAAAGACGAGAAGACCCUAUAGAUUUUUAUAUUUAUUUUAUUAAAAUUAAUUUGGAUUUAUUAAUAAUUUAUUAAAUAGAAUAUUUUAUUGGGGUAAUAUAAAGAUUAGAAAAAUUCUUUAUUUUAAAAAACAAAGAUUUUUGAUUUAAAUGAUCCUUAAAUAAAGAUUAAAAGAUUUAGUUACCUUAGGGAUAACAGCGUAAUUUUUUUAGAGAGUUCAUAUCGAUAAAAAAGUUUGCGACCUCGAUGUUGGAUUAAAAUUUAAUUUAAAUGAAGAAGUUUAAAUUUUUGGUCUGUUCGACCAUUAAAAUUUUACA
This 510-nucleotide ribosomal RNA is filed under the name Queda youngi. RNAcentral's name for it is "partial 16S ribosomal RNA". The stretch from base 384 to 510 matches the Rfam family "Bacterial large subunit ribosomal RNA", at positions 2473 to 2600 of the family's 2925-position model. The record is from RNAcentral. Lineage: Eukaryota; Metazoa; Arthropoda; Insecta; Coleoptera; Dytiscidae.